GACGAACGCUGGCGGCGUGCCUAAUACAUGCAAGUUGAGCGCUGAAGGUUGGUACUUGUACCGACUGGAUGAGCAGCGAACGGGUGAGUAACGCGUGGGGAAUCUGCCUUUGAGCGGGGGACAACAUUUGGAAACGAAUGCUAAUACCGCAUAAAAACUUUAAACACAAGUUUUAAGUUUGAAAGAUGCAAUUGCAUCACUCAAAGAUGAUCCCGCGUUGUAUUAGCUAGUUGGUGAGGUAAAGGCUCACCAAGGCGAUGAUACAUAGCCGACCUGAGAGGGUGAUCGGCCACAUUGGGACUGAGACACGGCCCAAACUCCUACGGGAGGCAGCAGUAGGGAAUCUUCGGCAAUGGACGAAAGUCUGACCGAGCAACGCCGCGUGAGUGAAGAAGGUUGUCGGAUCGUAAAACUCUGUUGGUAGAGAAGAACGUUGGUGAGAGUGGAAAGCUCAUCAAGUGACGGUAACUACACAGAAAGAGACGGCUAACUACGUG
RNAcentral lists this ribosomal RNA (497 nucleotides) under uncultured bacterium. RNAcentral's name for it is "partial 16S ribosomal RNA". It matches the Rfam family "Bacterial small subunit ribosomal RNA", at positions 28 to 507 of the family's 1533-position model. The record is from RNAcentral.